Molecule: long non-coding RNA, 814 nt
Filed under: Ananas comosus (pineapple)
Lineage: Eukaryota; Viridiplantae; Streptophyta; Magnoliopsida; Poales; Bromeliaceae
Description: long non-coding RNA (ACOM_LNC022109)
Source: RNAcentral
AGUUCUGUCGUUAUUUCAAUUUUUAUAUCCGGACUAUAGAUGACGAUUCUCUUUUGUUAUUCGUUCUCAUUCACGAUCUGCAAAGAAAAAAGAUGUUUCGAGUCUAAUUUUCUAAUCUCCAGUGAUAUAGUCGUCACAGAAAAUUAAGAUUAGAAUUAGACCGAAACUACCGUAUGUUACAUAUUUAUAGAUAACUUAAUGUAAGGAUGUUAAAUCACGUCAGCUUAUCAAAACGUGUCUAGAUACAUUCUAAUAGUUAAAUCUAUCGUAUUUUUUUAUAGAUCGACUCUAAUAGACCGACUUAUCUUUAUAGAUCGUCUUGAAUAAAUCAAAUGAGCCACAUCCAACACUUGAAACAUUUUAAAAAAUAAAAAUCUGUUCCUUGGAAGUUAGAAUUUAGGGCGUGUUUGGUUCGCUUCUUUUUUUCUCUGGAAUCGGAAUCAGAAUGGAUGAAUCCGUUUGUGGGUGUUUGGUACGCAGGAGUCCCAGUCCGAUUCCAAUUUCCGAGUGGAAUGGAAAUCCCCCAAUCACCCAAUUUUUCAAUCCGGCCUAGGAGGCCGGAUUGGAAGUUGAAUCCGGACGGAAUGAAUAUUUAUUCGGAUUAAAUUUAUUUUUUCAACUUUUUUAAUUAAAAUAUGAGUUAAAAUAUAAAAAUUAAAUAUAUAUUUUUAAAUUUUAAUUUGAACUUAAAUUAAAAAUUAAAAUUUAAUCAAGUAUUUCGAAUCUAAUUUAUUGAAUUUGAAUUUAAAUUAAAUUUUAAUUUAUAUAAAGUUUUAUUUAAAUUUUAUUUCAAACUUAAAUUAAAUUUAUGGAU